Molecule: ribosomal RNA, 338 nt
Filed under: Staphylococcus aureus
Lineage: Bacteria; Bacillati; Bacillota; Bacilli; Caryophanales; Staphylococcaceae
Description: partial 23S ribosomal RNA
Rfam family: Bacterial large subunit ribosomal RNA
Source: RNAcentral
GAUUAAGUUAUUAAGGGCGCACGGUGGAUGCCUUGGCACUAGAAGCCGAUGAAGGACGUUACUAACGACGAUAUGCUUUGGGGAGCUGUAAGUAAGCUUUGAUCCAGAGAUUUCCGAAUGGGGAAACCCAGCAUGAGUUAUGUCAUGUUAUCGAUAUGUGAAUACAUAGCAUAUCAGAAGGCACACCCGGAGAACUGAAACAUCUUAGUACCCGGAGGAAGAGAAAGAAAAUUCGAUUCCCUUAGUAGCGGCGAGCGAAACGGGAAGAGCCCAAACCAACAAGCUUGCUUGUUGGGGUUGUAGGACACUCUAUACGGAGUUACAAAGGACGACAUUAG